AUAGCAUAUAUUAAAGUUGUUGCAGUUAAAAAGCUCGUAGUUGGAUUUCUGGGAGGGUGCCAAUGUCCGCUUGAUGCGUGUGCAGCGGUGCCCUUCCAUCCUUCUGUUAACGUUUCUUGGUAUUAACUUACUGGUUGCGGGCUCAGAUAUUUUACCUUGAGAAAAUUAGAGUGUUUCAGGCAGGCUUGCGCCCGAAUACAUUAGCAUGGAAUAAUAGAAUAGGACUUUGGUCUCCUUUGUUGGUUUGAGGGACUGGAGUAAUGAUUAAUAGGGACAGUUGGGGGCAUUAGUAUUUUAUUGUCAGAGGUGAAAUUCUCGGAUUUGUAAAAGACUAACUUAUG
This 341-nucleotide ribosomal RNA is filed under the name uncultured eukaryote. RNAcentral's name for it is "SSU rRNA". It matches the Rfam family "Eukaryotic small subunit ribosomal RNA", at positions 594 to 945 of the family's 1831-position model. The record is from RNAcentral.